This 906-nucleotide ribosomal RNA is filed under the name Candolleomyces subhyalinisporus. Its description in RNAcentral is "eukaryotic LSU rRNA". It matches the Rfam family "Eukaryotic large subunit ribosomal RNA", at positions 52 to 949 of the family's 3401-position model. The record is from RNAcentral. Lineage: Eukaryota; Fungi; Basidiomycota; Agaricomycetes; Agaricales; Psathyrellaceae.
GGAGGAAAAGAAACUAACAAGGAUUCCCCUAGUAACUGCGAGUGAAGCGGGAAAAGCUCAAAUUUAAAAUCUGGCGGCUUUGUCGUCCGAGUUGUAAUCUAGAGAAGUGUUACCCGCGUUGGACCGUGUACAAGUCUCCUGGAAUGGAGCGUCAUAGAGGGUGAGAAUCCCGUCUUUGACACGGACUACCAAGGCUUUGUGGUGCGCUCUCAAAGAGUCGAGUUGUUUGGGAAUGCAGCUCAAAAUGGGUGGUAAAUGCCAUCUAAAGCUAAAUAUUGGCGAGAGACCGAUAGCGAACAAGUACCGUGAGGGAAAGAUGAAAAGAACUUUGGAAAGAGAGUUAAACAGUACGUGAAAUUGCUGAAAGGGAAACGCUUGAAGUCAGUCACGCUGCCUGAAAUCAACCUNGCUUCUGCUUGGUGUACUUUCUGGUUGCGGGUCAACAUCAAUUUUGAUCAAUGGAUAAAGGCUGUGGAAAUGUGGCUCCCUCGGGAGUGUUAUAGUCUGCUGUUGUAUACAUUGAUUGGGAUUGAGGAACUCAGCGCGCCGCAAGGCCGGGAUUCGUCCACGUUCGCGCUUAGGAUGUUGGCAUAAUGGCUUUAAUCGACCCGUCUUGAAACACGGACCAAGGAGUCUAACAUGCUUGCGAGUAUUUGGGUGGAAAACCCGAGUGCGCAAUGAAAGUAAAAAUUGAGAUCCCUGUCGUGGGGAGCAUCGAUGCCCGGACCAGAUGUUUACUGACGGAUCCGCGGUUGAGCANGUAUGUUGGGACCCGAAAGAUGGUGAACUAUGCCUGAAUAGGGUGAAGCCAGAGGAAACUCUGGUGGAGGCUCGUAGCGAUUCUGACGUGCAAAUCGAUCGUCAAAUUUGGGUAUAGGGGCGAAAGACUAAUCGAACCAUCUAGUA